ACUCCUACGGGAGGCAGCAGUGGGGAAUAUUGCACAAUGGGCGCAAGCCUGAUGCAGCCAUGCCGCGUGUGUGAAGAAGGCCUUCGGGUUGUAAAGCACUUUCAGUCGUGAGGAAGGUAGUGUAGUUAAUAGCUGCAUUAUUUGACGUUAGCGACAGAAGAAGCACCGGCUAACUCCGUGCCAGCAGCCGCGGUAAUACGGAGGGUGCGAGCGUUAAUCGGAAUUACUGGGCGUAAAGCGCAUGCAGGUGGUUUGUUAAGUCAGAUGUGAAAGCCCGGGGCUCAACCUCGGAAUAGCAUUUGAAACUGGCAGACUAGAGUACUGUAGAGGGGGGUAGAAUUUCAGGUGUAGCGGUGAAAUGCGUAGAGAUCUGAAGGAAUACCGGUGGCGAAGGCGGCCCCCUGGACAGAUACUGACACUCAGAUGCGAAAGCGUGGGGAGCAAACAGGAUUAGAUACCCUGGUAGGAUAGCG
RNAcentral lists this ribosomal RNA (473 nucleotides) under uncultured bacterium. RNAcentral's name for it is "bacterial SSU rRNA". It matches the Rfam family "Bacterial small subunit ribosomal RNA", at positions 335 to 799 of the family's 1533-position model. The record is from RNAcentral.